Molecule: long non-coding RNA, 526 nt
Filed under: Phoenix dactylifera (date palm)
Lineage: Eukaryota; Viridiplantae; Streptophyta; Magnoliopsida; Arecales; Arecaceae
Description: long non-coding RNA (PDAC_LNC009457)
Source: RNAcentral
UGAGCUAAAUUUCCUUCAGUAUCUCUUAUAAACACAAAUUUAAAGUAACUACUAUAUGUGAUAGAUUUAUAGAUUUUAAAAUACACCUAAUUGGCAAAUCAGCUGUUUUGAAAAUUAUUUAAAAAAAACAAAUUCCAUCUGUCUCUAUUAGAAAAUCUAUUUUGGAAUUCACUAAUGAGUUCUUAUUGGCUUGCACUUUAGAGUUUCUAUCAUGUGUCAAUUCCUUUUAAUUGAUUUUGAUGCUAUUCUCUUUAACAGAGUAGAAGAAAGUCUUUAAAAGAGCUCUAAAAGAACUUUCAAAGCUUUGCACUUUAUGUAUGCUCUAAGAUAUAUCAUAAAUUGCUUGAAUUCAUGUUUUGGUAUUUAUACUCCAAUGUUUUUAUAUCAUAAAAGAAUUUUGAAGUCAUUAAGAAUUAAUGAUCCAACAUGAUGUUAUAUUUUUCGAGUAUAUAAGUUUUGAUCUUAUACUCUGAAAAUUAAUUAGAUUGCUCUCAUGUUGCGAAAUACUUAAUAUAUUGAGCAAAAG